GACGAACGCUGGCGGUGUGCCUAAUACAUGCAAGUAGAACGCACAGUUUAUACCGUAGCUUGCUACACCAUAGACUGUGAGUUGCGAACGGGUGAGUAACGCGUAGGUAACCUGCCUGAUAGCGGGGGAUAACUAUUGGAAACGAUAGCUAAUACCGCAUAAUAUUAAUUAUUGCAUGAUAAUUGAUUGAAAGGUGCAAAUGCAUCACUACCAGAUGGACCUGCGUUGUAUUAGCUAGUAGGUGAGGUAACGGCUCACCUAGGCGACGAUACAUAGCCGACCUGAGAGGGUGAUCGGCCACACUGGGACUGAGACACGGCCCAGACUCCUACGGGAGGCAGCAGUAGGGAAUCUUCGGCAAUGGACGAAAGUCUGACCGAGCAACGCCGCGUGAGUGAAGAAGGUUUUCGGAUCGUAAAGCUCUGUUGUAAGAGAAGAACGGGUGUGAGAGUGGAAAGUUCACACUGUGACGGUAUCUUACCAGAAAGGGACGGCUAACUACGUGCCAGCAGCCGCGGUAAUACGUAGGUCCCGAGCGUUGUCCGGAUUUAUUGGGCGUAAAGCGAGCGCAGGCGGUUAGAUAAGUCUGAAGUUAAAGGCUGUGGCUUAACCAUAGUACGCUUUGGAAACUGUUUAACUUGAGUGCAGAAGGGGAGAGUGGAAUUCCAUGUGUAGCGGUGAAAUGCGUAGAUAUAUGGAGGAACACCGGUGGCGAAAGCGGCUCUCUGGUCUGUAACUGACGCUGAGGCUCGAAAGCGUGGGGAGCGAACAGG
RNAcentral lists this ribosomal RNA (773 nucleotides) under uncultured Streptococcus sp. RNAcentral's name for it is "bacterial SSU rRNA". It matches the Rfam family "Bacterial small subunit ribosomal RNA", at positions 28 to 776 of the family's 1533-position model. Lineage: Bacteria; Bacillati; Bacillota; Bacilli; Lactobacillales; Streptococcaceae. The record is from RNAcentral.